CCUUUACCUUCGGUGAUGUCUCUUCCUCCAUCUCCCAUCGACAUUUCCCGAUUCUCAAAUCUUCCUCACUGUUUGACUUCUCCCCUUCACACCUGCCCUUUCCGACUGUCUCACGUCAGGAACACUUUUCUAACCAUUAGGGAAUGAGAGAGAAUAUGUGGAGUUUACAGGGUCACACCGACAGACGAAAUUACUGACAUUCGGUGAAUUCAUUGGAGCUGGGCAGUGAGGGACAUUGACAGUGAUGGGAUCUACGAUCAGUGAAUUACUGAAGGGUUUAAUGUUUCCUGAAAUAUCCGGGUGAGAGAAAUGCCCUCAGACGGACGAUUUUAAUCACAAUGUUCAUCAAUUUGUCUGCUUGUGUUUAGACUGAACAGUAAUAAACUGGGGGAUUCAGGAGUGAAACUGGUGUCUGCGGCUCUGAGGAACCCGGAGUGUAAAAUACAGAGACUGUGGCUGGGGGAUGUCGGUCUCACAGAUUCUGGUGCCGAGGAUCUCGUCUCCGCUCUCAGUACAAACCCAUCACUGACGGAUCUGGACCUGAGUGAUAAUAAACUGGGUGAUUCAGGAGUGAAACUGGUGUCUGCGGCUCUGAGGAACCCGGAGUGUAAAAUACAGAGACUGUGGCUGAGGGAUGUCGGUCUCACAGAUUCUGGUGCCGAGGAUCUCGUCUCCGCUCUCAGUACAAACCCAUCACUGACGUGGCUGGACCUGGGAUACAACUCUCUGACAGACCGAUCUGUCCCCGGUCUCCGCCGCCUCAUCCUGACCCUCCCGAGUCUGGAGUGGAUCGGGCUGGAGGGGAAUCGGUUCAGUGAGACCGGGGAGAAGGAACUGAGAUCUCUACAGGAACCCAGACCCGGACGGAUGGUGGAUCUGUGAACAUCUGAAUGUGGGGAAUCGGUUCAGUGAGACCAGGGAGAAGGAACUGAGAUCUCUACAGGAACCCAGACACGGACUGAUGGUGGAUCUGUGAACAUCUGAAUGUGGAGAAUCGGUUCAGUGAGACCGGGGAGAAGGAACUGAGAUCUCUACAGGAAACCAGACCCGGACUGAUGGUGGAUCUGUGAACAUCUGAAUGUGGGGAAUCGGUUCAGUGAGACCGGGGAAAGGAACUGAGAUCUCUACAGGAACCCAGACCCGGACUGAUGGUGGAUCUGUGAACAUCUGAAUGUGGAGAAUCGGUUCAGUGAGACCGGGAUGAAGGAACUGAGAUCUCUACAGGAACCCAGACCCGGACUGAUGGUGGAUCUGUGAACAUCUGAAUGUGGAGAAUCGGUUCAGUGAGACCGGGGAGAAGGAACUGAGAUCUCUACAGGAACCCAGACCCGGACUGAUGGUGGAUCUGUGAACAUCUGAAUGUGGGGAAUCGGUUCAGUGAGACCGGGAUGAAGGAACUGAGAUCUCUACAGGAACCCAGACCCGGACUGAUGGUGGAUCUGUGAACAUCUGAAUGUGGAGAAUCGGUUCAGUGAGACCGGGAUGAAGGAACUGAGAUCUCUACAGGAACCCAGACCCGGACUGAUGGUGGAUCUGUGAACAUCUGAAUGUGGUGAAUCGGUUCAGUGAGACCGGGGGGAAGGAACUGAGAUCUCUACAGGAACCCAGACCCGGACUGAGAGUGGAUCUGUGAACAUCUGAAUGUGGGGAAUCGGUUCAGUGAGACCGGGAUGAAGGAACUGAGAUCUCUACAGGAACCCAGACCCGGACUGAUGGUGGAUCUGUGAACAUCUGAAUGUGGGGAAUCGGUUCAGUGAGACCGGGUGAAGGAACUGAGAUCUCUACAGGAACCCAGACCCGGACUGAUGGUGGAUCUGUGAACAUCUGAAUGUGGUGAAUCGGUUCAGUGAGACCGGGAUGAAGGAACUGAGAUCUCUACAGGAACCCAGACCCGGACUGAGAGUGGAUCUGUGAACAUCUGAAUGUGGGGAAUCGGUUCAGUGAGACCGGGAUGAAGGAACUGUGAUCUCUACAGGAACCCAGACCCGGACUGAUGGUGGAUCUGUGAACAUCUGAAUGUGGUGAAUCGGUUCAGUGAGACCGGGAUGAAGGAACUGUGAUCUCUACAGGAACCCAGACCCGGACUGAUGGUGGAUCUGUGAACAUCUGAAUGUGGUGAAUCGGUUCAGUGAGACCGGGAUGAAGGAACUGAGAUCUCUACAGGAACCCAGACCCGGACUGAUGGUGGAUCUGUGAACAUCUGAAUGUGGGGAAUCGGUUCAGUGAGACCGGGGGGAAGGAACAGAGAUCUCUACAGGAACCCAGACCCGGACUGAGAGUGGAUCUGUAAACAUCUGAAUGUGGAUAAUCGGUUCAGUGGGACCGGGAUGAAGAAACUGAGAUCUCUACAGGAACCCAGACCCGGACUGAGAGUGGAUCUGUGAACAUCUGAAUGUGGGGAAUCGGUUCAGUGAGACCGGGAUGAAGGAACUGAGAUCUCUACAGGAACCCAGACCCGGACUGAUGGUGGAUCUGUGAACAUCUGAAUGUGGUGAAUCGGUUCAGUGAGACCGGGGAUGAAGGAACUGAGAUCUCUACAGGAACCCAGACCCGGACUGAUGGUGGAUCUGUGAACAUCUGAAUGUGGUGAAUCGGUUCAGUGAGACCGGGAUGAAGGAACUGAGAUCUCUACAGGAACCCAGACCCGGACUGAUGGUGGAUCUGUGAACAUCUGAAUGUGGUGAAUCGGUUCAGUGAGACCGGGAUGAAGGAACUGAGAUCUCUACGGGAACCCAGACCCGGACUGAUGGUGGAUCUGUGAACAUCUGAAUGUGGUGAAUCGGUUCAGUGAGACCGGGAUGGAACUGAGAUCUCUACAGGAACCCAGACCCAGACUGAUGGUGGAUCUGUGAACAUCUGAAUGUGGUGAAUCGGUUCAGUGAGACCGGGAUGAAGGAACUGAGAUCUCUACAGGAACCCAGACCCGGACUGAUGGUGGAUCUGUGAACAUCUGAAUGUGGUGAAUCGGUUCAGUGAGACCGGGAUGAAGGAACUGAGAUCUCUACAGGAACCCAGACCCGGACUGAGAGUGGAUCUGUGAACAUCUGAAUGUGGUGAAUCGGUUCAGUGAGACCGGGAUGAAGGAACUGAGAUCUCUACAGGAACCCAGACCCGGACUGACAGUGGAUCUGUGAACAUCUGAAUGUGGUGAAUCGGUUCAGUGAGACCGGGAUGAAGGAACUGAGAUCUCUACAGGAACCCAGACCCGGACUGAUGGUGGAUCUGUGAACAUCUGAAUGUGGUGAAUCGGUUCAGUGAGACCGGGAUGAAGGAACUGAGAUCUCUACAGGAACCCAGACCCGGACUGAUGGUGGAUCUGUGAACAUCUGAAUGUGGGGAAUCGGUUCAGUGAGACCGGGAUGAAGGAACUGAGAUCUCUACAGGAACCCAGACCCGGACUGAUGGUGGAUCUGUGAACAUCUGAAUGUGGUGAAUCGGUUCAGUGAGACCGGGAUGAAGGAACUGAGAUCUCUACAGGAACCCAGACCCGGACUGAUGGUGGAUCUGUGAACAUCUGAAUGUGGGGAAUCGGUUCAGUGAGACCGGGGGGAAGGAACUGAGAUCUCUACAGGAACCCAGACCCGGACUGAUGGUGGAUCUGUGAACAUCUGAAUGUGGGGAAUCGGUUCAGUGAGACCGGGAUGAAGGAACUGAGAUCUCUACAGGAACCCAGACCCGGACUGAGAGUGGAUCUGUGGACAUCUGAAUGUGGGGAAUCGGUUCAGUGAGACCGGGAUGAAGGAACUGAGAUCUCUACAGGAACCCAGACCCGGACUGAGAGUGGAUCUGAAUGUGUGAACAUCCCCGCCCGUGGGAUGGGGACAUUUGGCCGACUCCCCGCCCUCCCCUUUAACUCCCGCCCUUACCUUUAACGGCCGCGCGCUGGGACUGAUUCCCAACGGUUUUAACGGAACCGGCACGGGCCUCGCGCUGUGUGCGUCGCUCGCAGCGGUCCCGCAGUGACGUGUUUCCGCCUGUUGUCCGGCGGGGCAGCUUCCGCCGGAAGUGCGUGUUGGAGACUCCCCACGUGGCUACCCGGGGAAUUACCCGGACAGGAAGAGCCCGGGGUCCGGGGCUCAGUCUGGGACACCGGUGUCCCGGGGUGGGGGGGGGGGGGAUGGUCCCGGGAGAGAAUCCUUUUGCCCCCUUUGCUGAGGACGGUGCAUUCGGCAGCCUGGCCGAUAUAAUGAUGUUAAAUGGACAAAUCCCUCGGCAGUGACCCUGGAUCUGCAGCGAUCCCGGACACGGCCCUGAAGUGUGAUUUUAUAAUCAGUUUUAUAAUUUUAUAAUCAGUUUUAUAAUUUUAUAAUCAGUUCCCCGAUGCAGAGUGACGGUGAGAAACGGGACUGGUUAUUAUUCAACCGGUCACCCCUUGUCGCCGGUCAGUUAAUAGUGUGUGACUGUCAGCAGAUUAUUUAUUCCCGCACGUUAGCAGCUCACACAUUGUUUCAUUGAUAUUUCUCAUAAAAAUCAAUAAACCACUGUAUCUUCCUGU
Hypanus sabinus (Atlantic stingray) is the source of this 4495-nucleotide long non-coding RNA. RefSeq lists it as uncharacterized. The record is from RefSeq and is a predicted model, not a curated record. NCBI's taxonomy places the organism in Eukaryota, Metazoa, Chordata, Chondrichthyes, Myliobatiformes, Dasyatidae. The transcript is spliced from 4 exons.